Molecule: ribosomal RNA, 525 nt
Filed under: uncultured bacterium
Lineage: Bacteria
Description: bacterial SSU rRNA
Rfam family: Bacterial small subunit ribosomal RNA
Source: RNAcentral
AGGGUUUGAUUAUGGCUCAGGAUGAACGCUAGCGGCAGGCUUAACACAUGCAAGUCGAGGGGUAACAGGGAGUGCUUGCACUCCGCUGACGACCGGCGCACGGGUGCGUAACGCGUAUGCAACCUACCUUUUACAGGGGGAUAGUCAAGAGAAAUUUUGAAUAAUACCCCAUACGAUCUUAGUCACACCUGUGAUUUAGAGGAAAACUUCGGUGGUAAAAGAUGGGCAUGCGUCCUAUUAGUUAGAUGGUGAGGUAACGGCUCCCCAUGACUACGAUAGGUAGGGGUCCUGAGAGGGAGAUCCCCCACACUGGUACUGAGACACGGACCAGACUCUUACGGGAGGCAGCAGUGAGGAAUAUUGGACAAUGGAGGCAACUCUGAUCCAGCCAUGCCGCGUGCAGGAAGACUGCCCUAUGGGUUGUAAACUGCUUUUAUACAGGAAGAAACACUCCCUCGUGAGGGGGCUUGACGGUACUGUACGAAUAAGGAUCGGCUAACUCCGUGCCAGCAGCCGCGGUAAUUC